This 948-nucleotide ribosomal RNA is filed under the name uncultured beta proteobacterium. RNAcentral's name for it is "bacterial SSU rRNA". It matches the Rfam family "Bacterial small subunit ribosomal RNA", at positions 58 to 1002 of the family's 1533-position model. Lineage: Bacteria; Pseudomonadati; Pseudomonadota; Betaproteobacteria. The record is from RNAcentral.
CAAGUCGAGCGGCAGCGCGGGGCAACCUGGCGGCGAGCGGCGAACGGGUGAGUAAUGCAUCGGAACAUGUCCAUGUCGUGGGGGAUAGCCCGGCGAAAGCCGGAUUAAUACCGCAUAAGCCCGAGAGGGGAAAGUGGGGGACCGCAAGGCCUCACGCGAUUGGGUUGGCCGAUGUCCGAUUAGCUAGUUGGCGGGGUAAGAGCCCACCGAGGCGAUGAUCGGUAGCUGGUCUGAGAGGAUGAUCAGCCACACUGGGACUGAGACACGGCCCAGACUCCUACGGGAGGCAGCAGUGGGGAAUUUUGGACAAUGGGGGCAACCCUGAUCCAGCCAUUCCGCGUGAGUGAAGAAGGCCUUCGGGUUGUAAAGCUCUUUUGUCCGGAACGAAACGGUGCACGUGAAUAUCGUGCGCUACUGACGGUACCGGAAGAAUAAGCACCGGCUAACUACGUGCCAGCAGCCGCGGUAAUACGUAGGGUGCGAGCGUUAAUCGGAAUUACUGGGCGUAAAGCGUGCGCAGGCGGUUUUGUAAGCCAGAUGUGAAAUCCCCGGGCUUAACCUGGGAAUGGCAUUUGGGACUGCAAGGCUGGAGUGUGGCAGAGGAGACUGGAAUUCCUGGUGUAGCAGUGAAAUGCGUAGAUAUCAGGAGGAAUACCGAUGGCGAAGGCAGGUCUCUGGGCUGACACUGACGCUCAUGCACGAAAGCGUGGGGAGCAAACAGGAUUAGAUACCCUGGUAGUCCACGCCCUAAACGAUGUCGACUGGUUGUUGGGGGUUUGACACUCUCAGUAACGAAGCUAACGCGUGAAGUCGACCGCCUGGGGAGUACGGCCGCAAGGUUAAAACUCAAAGGAAUUGACGGGGACCCGCACAAGCGGUGGAUUAUGUGGAUUAAUUCGAUGCAACGCGAAAAACCUUACCUACCCUUGACAUGUCCGAGAGGCUGAA